UGAUGACGAAAAAGGAGAGCUGCUGGC
This 27-nucleotide small RNA is filed under the name Bombyx mori (domestic silkworm). RNAcentral describes it as "ovarian small RNA-32789". The record is from RNAcentral. Lineage: Eukaryota; Metazoa; Arthropoda; Insecta; Lepidoptera; Bombycidae.